UGCAAGUCGAACGGUGACGAUGGAGCUUGCUCUGUCUGAUCAGUGGCGAACGGGUGAGUAACACGUGAGUAACCUGCCCCCGACUCUGGAAUAACCGUGGGAAACGACGGCUAAUACCGGAUAUGAGACGCACAGGCAUCUGUGGGUCUGGAAAGAUUUAUCGGUCAGGGAUGGACUCGCGGCCUAUCAGCUUGUUGGUGGGGUAAUGGCCUACCAAGGCGACGACGGGUAGCCGGCCUGAGAGGGCGACCGGCCACACUGGGACUGAGAUACGGCCCAGACUCCUACGGGAGGCAGCAGUGGGGAAUAUUGCACAAUGGGCGCAAGCCUGAUGCAGCGACGCCGCGUGAGGGAUGAAGGCCUUCGGGUUGUAAACCUCUUUCAGCAGGGAAGAAGCGAAAGUGACGGUACCUGCAGAAGAAGCGCCGGCUAACUACGUGCCAGCAGCCGCGGUAAUACGUAGGGCGCAAGCGUUGUCCGGAAUUAUUGGGCGUAAAGAGCUCGUAGGCGGUUUGUCGCGUCUGCUGUGAAAACCUGAGGCUCAACCUCGGGCUUGCAGUGGGUACGGGCAGACUAGAGUGCGGUAGGGGUGACUGGAAUUCCUGGUGUAGCGGUGGAAUGCGCAGAUAUCAGGAGGAACACCGAUGGCGAAGGCAGGUCACUGGGCCGCAACUGACGCUGAGGAGCGAAAGCAUGGGGAGCGAACAGGAUUAGAUACCCUGGUAGUCCAUGCCGUAAACGUUGGGCACUAGGUGUGGGGCUCAUUCCACGAGUUCCGUGCCGCAGCAAACGCAUUAAGUGCCCCGCCUGGGGAGUACGGCCGCAAGGCUAAAACUCAAAAAAAUUGACGGGGGCCCGC
This 859-nucleotide ribosomal RNA is filed under the name Cellulomonas sp. KAR68. RNAcentral's name for it is "bacterial SSU rRNA". It matches the Rfam family "Bacterial small subunit ribosomal RNA", at positions 56 to 924 of the family's 1533-position model. The record is from RNAcentral. Lineage: Bacteria; Bacillati; Actinomycetota; Actinomycetes; Micrococcales; Cellulomonadaceae.